This 468-nucleotide ribosomal RNA is filed under the name uncultured bacterium. RNAcentral's name for it is "partial 16S ribosomal RNA". It matches the Rfam family "Bacterial small subunit ribosomal RNA", at positions 28 to 507 of the family's 1533-position model. The record is from RNAcentral.
GACGAACGCUGGCGGCGUGCUUAACACAUGCAAGUCGAACGGAAAGGCCCUGCUUUUGUGGGAUGCUCGAGUGGCGAACGGGUGAGUAACACGUGAGUAACCUGCCCUUGACUUUGGGAUAACUUCAGGAAACUGGGGCUAAUACCGGAUAGGAGCUCCUGCUGCAUGGUGGGGGUUGGAAAGUUUCGGCGGUUGGGGAUGGACUCGCGGCUUAUCAGCUUGUUGGUGGGGUAGUGGCUUACCAAGGCUUUGACGGGUAGCCGGCCUGAGAGGGUGACCGGCCACAUUGGGACUGAGAUACGGCCCAGACUCCUACGGGAGGCAGCAGUGGGGAAUAUUGCACAAUGGGCGGAAGCCUGAUGCAGCAACGCCGUGUGCGGGAUGACGGCCUUCGGGUUGUAAACCGCUUUCGCCUGUGACGAAGCGUGAGUGACGGUAAUGGGUAAAGAAGCACCGGCUAACUACGUG